Molecule: long non-coding RNA, 982 nt
Organism: Carassius gibelio (silver crucian carp)
Lineage: Eukaryota; Metazoa; Chordata; Actinopteri; Cypriniformes; Cyprinidae
Exons: 4
Source: RefSeq, a predicted model, not a curated record
GAAAAAAAGGAAAAGCAGUUUUACUGGAUUUACUAAAACAAUACACUUACAGUCUACUUAAUACAUUUAUGUUUAAGAUGGAAACAUAAUUUUAUUGUUUAAAUUCUAAAUGAAAUUCAACAUAAUCAUCAAAACAUGAUAUAAUCACUUUGCAAGAAAAUGUUCAAAUUGUUUCAGAUUUCAAACAAAUUGUGUUCAUGUAAAAUGAUUUUUUCCUGCUGUUUGAUUUAUUUAAUUAAAAUAAGCCCAUGUCACACAAUUACUUUGUAUUUUCUUCUCAACUUAAUUCCAUUGUGUAGGCUAUAAUUAAUCUAAUUCAGUUUUGAGAAAUAGUCGUUUGCGCGGGAGCAACGUGCGCGAGAGCGUCUGCGCAUGGGCUUUGAAAUCCAGACCACACCAGGACCGUUGGUUUGGAAAGGACACAUGAGGGGACUGACUGUAUUGUUUUCAAAGCUCUUUAAAAGUGACAUUUGGUAUUCCAAAGCCUGUUAAGACAAAUUACGAGCUAAGUCAGUCAGUUAGGCAGUUAGCCUUGUAGAAGUCGGUGAAUUAACUGAUGAAUACCUCUUGGCUGACUAUUUGACUGGACAUGUGCAGAUGGUAACGUUAAAGAGAUUUGUCUGCUGCAAAGGAUGACAUUGAUGCAGCUUGUGAACUUGCCAUCAGAGGACUGGUUAUCUAUCUUAAUGAGGACCCUAAAGAGCUCAUUCAGGAGUAUGUGGACAUGGAAGAAGAUCCAGUUUAUUUUACAGUGUGCGAUUGAGAAGACUACCAUGGGCAUCUUCCUGAUAAAGCACACUGCAGACAAUGAAGCCCAUGAUGUAGGCAUUGUGCUAGAGGGUGUAGCAGUGCUUCAGGACCUCAACAGUGUGGAUUUUGCAACUUCAAUGUUGUUUGGUCUAAUUUAUGCUCUUAACCUGCAGUACCCCACAAAGUUGCGUUUUACAUAUGAAAUUUACCAAAAACUCAUCAUGGACUUGGA